RNAcentral lists this ribosomal RNA (494 nucleotides) under uncultured bacterium. RNAcentral's name for it is "partial 16S ribosomal RNA". It matches the Rfam family "Bacterial small subunit ribosomal RNA", at positions 28 to 523 of the family's 1533-position model. The record is from RNAcentral.
GACGAACGCUGGCGGCGUGCUUAACACAUGCAAGUCGAACGGGAAAUAUUUCAUUGAGACUUUGGUGGAUUUGAUCUAUUUCUAGUGGCGGACGGGUGAGUAACGCGUGGGUAACCUGCCUUAUACAGGGGGAUAACAGUCAGAAAUGGCUGCUAAUACCGCAUAAGCGCACAGAGCUGCAUGGCUCAGUGUGAAAAACUUCGGGGGUAUAAGAUGGACCCGCGUUGGAUUAGCUUGUUGGUGGGGUAACGGCCCACCAAGGCGACGAUCCAUAGCCGGCCUGAGAGGGUGAACGGCCACAUUGGGACUGGGACACGGCCCAGACUCCUACGGGAGGCAGCAGUGGGGAAUAUUGCACAAUGGGGGAAACCCUGAUGCAGCGACGCCGCGUGAAGGAAGAAGUAUCUCGGUAUGUAAACUUCUAUCAGCAGGGAAGAUAGUGACGGUACCUGACUAAGAAGCCCCGGCUAACUACGUGCCAGCCGCCGCAGUAA